UGAGUUCUCCCUGAGACUUUAGGUCUCCUGAAGGAACGUUGAAGACGACGACGUUGAUAGGCCGGGUGUGUAAGCGCAGCGAUGCGUUGAGCUAACCGGUACUAAUGAACCGUGAGGCUUAACCUU
This 126-nucleotide ribosomal RNA is filed under the name Salmonella enterica. RNAcentral's name for it is "partial 23S ribosomal RNA". It matches the Rfam family "Bacterial large subunit ribosomal RNA", at positions 2805 to 2925 of the family's 2925-position model. Lineage: Bacteria; Pseudomonadati; Pseudomonadota; Gammaproteobacteria; Enterobacterales; Enterobacteriaceae. The record is from RNAcentral.